UUACCGUUAAUAAAGCACUAACUCUAUUAAUGAAAACUAAAAUACAUCUUAAAUAAAAUACCAAAUAAAAACAAAAUGAAAUGCAAAUUAAAAGACAAUUUUAAAGUUGAAUUAUAUUUAACAAAAUGUGUAUAUAAAAUACACAUUCAAAAAUAUAUCUCUAAAUUCUAAGGACUAUUAUGACUUUUUACUAUGAUGAAUGAACGCCUCU
This 211-nucleotide long non-coding RNA is filed under the name Lathyrus oleraceus (garden pea). Its description in RNAcentral is "Pisum sativum (pea) long non-coding RNA (PSAT_LNC014050)". The record is from RNAcentral. Lineage: Eukaryota; Viridiplantae; Streptophyta; Magnoliopsida; Fabales; Fabaceae.